Molecule: long non-coding RNA, 3185 nt
Organism: Equus caballus (horse)
Lineage: Eukaryota; Metazoa; Chordata; Mammalia; Perissodactyla; Equidae
Source: RefSeq, a predicted model, not a curated record
AGCACUGACAGGCACGCCAUUUUAAGAGCCGUGGAAAUUAACACAUGUUGGUCAUUAGGCAUCAGGCCUCAAGGAUAUUAAAUCAGGACCUGAGAAGCAGAGGUAGGUGAAAAUAUUAAUUUUAAUCAAAAUUAUAAAUAUAAACCCAAGCAUAGGAAGCAUCUUUCUUUAAGGAUUUACCUUUCACGUCUAUGGUCUGUCUUCCUGCCAUAUGAGAAGACCUAAGAAUUUUAAUUUUAAGGAUCCGACCAUCCUCAGAUACUAUGUUAGUAACAGUAAGAAAACAUCAGUGCUUUGUUGUCCUGUGAAUCUCUUUUCUUUUCUUAGCUACAAAUUAAAAUUAAGCCAUGAAACAUCUAAAUAUAUAUGUCUAUGAAUGGGAUCCAGGGUCGUGUAAAUUUAAUUUUGGACAGAAAACAAAAUGAAUAUGAAGAAGUACUGUCAAAGGUCUUCCAUGAGCUCAGCAUUGUUUGGGCAUAUAGAAGACACUAUUUCAUUUUUUACUAUAAAACUGAGAAGUGGGUAUUUCUAUUGCUACUUUACAGAUGAGGAGGCUGAACCUCAGAAAGAUUAAAUAAUACUCGCCGUGGCUGGGAUUCCACCUCAGGUCUGUGUGACUGAAGCUGGUGCCCUUCCUGUGCCAUUACCCUUCCUCUGUAAAUUCAUUUCACGUGAUUUUAAAAACCUUUGAUUUUUGUUUUCCGAUCAAAGAUGCAGACUUUAAAUCACGGUCCUAUAUCUCUUUUGAUAAAUUAGAAAUCAGCAUUCACAGUUACCUGCAGGCUGCUCCGUCCCUCUCUGAAUCCAACGAAAUCCCAGGAGCCAGUCUGCAAUGGCUUUUCACUUGCUAAUCAGAAGGAUUUCACAAAUAGUCUUUAACAUCUCCAUGGCUAAGGGCCUAAAAGUGAAAUGACCGAGAGCUGAGACAACCAAAUGCCUCUAGCCUGAGGCCAGAGCACCCCAAUGGGGAGGGGCAGCCAUAUGUUCAGUGCCUUUACUCUGAAUCUUCUGAGGAUCUGCGAGAUUUUUCUUUCCCCUGGGCCCUGGCCCAGAAGGGGAUAGAUGGGGAGCCCUGCAUUCUACCCAUGUUGGUGAGCCCCAAACUGCUUUUGCUGCUUCACUCCUGCCAGCACUGCCUCCUGAAGCCCGUGUCUUAGGCCACACAUCCCCGGCCUUUUCCCAGGAGCGCCUUGGCUGCCAAUUGUCCCUUUUAAGCUGUCCUGAAACCCACUCCUGACCGGCCCCAUCUCCAUCCUGCGUAGGCGUUGAUGUCUGCCUGGGUAAGACUGGAUUUGCCAAAUUCCUUUUAGAAUUUGAUUUAUAGUUGUAAGCUCUCUUUGUGGGAUCUCUUAUUGGAUUGACUGUUUUAUAGUUUGCCUUAAAAGCCCCCUUAUUUCCUCUUUGCUUUCAUCCUUACUUAGGACCCCAACCCCGCUUAGUGUAUUCAUUCCCAGGGAGCCAAAGCUUCAGGCCAAAGAAUAAGUUCUCUUUGAGAUUAAUUACUAUUUCUGUUCCAUUUAUAGUGUAUGAAGAUUUAAUGAUAGAAGUUAAAAAGCUGUAAACUGUGGUUAAUAAGAAAUGCCAAGGUCUGAAUUCUUUAACUUCUUCUAAACACUUCUCUCUUCACUUCUCAAGAUAUCUCUCUUCCCCAUGCCUCCACUACCUACCAAACUGCCUUAUUUUCUCUGUCUUUUUUCUUCUCGUCCUGCUCUCAUCUUUCACCUCAGUUCUUUCCCCAGGUGCCUCUCCCUUUAACUUCCAAAAGAAGAAGUCAUAUGCAUAUAAUUUUAUCUAUUGAAAUAAUCUCUUUUCCUGUUGUCGUUUUUAAAAUUGAGCACGUGUAAACUUUCAUUUGCCGUCAGAGCUUAGGCCCAGUGUCUAGAAUAUAGCCGAGUCUUAAGUAAUGUUUUGAGUAGACAAGUGGUCCUCUUUUUGCCCUUGAAACAAAUUUUUAAAAAUAUAUGAUCUAAGCUAACUAGAUUUUUUAAAAAGUUCAAUCAAUCAUUCAAAUAUUAAUCAAGAAUAGUCUCUGGCCUUAAUGCUGAGCUAAGGUCUGUGAAGGGCACUGGGCAAGGAUGAUCGUUACCCCAGUUAGCUUACAAGCUAUUGGGGAUACAAGAGUAUGACCCAUAAAACAACUGGGGAAAUAUGAGGGAAAAAACCACAAUUAGAGGCUGAGUUGUGCAGUGUAAACUGUAGGUGCUAUGAACACACAGGCAGGAGGUCUCAGUGACUGUGGUACUUGGUUAAUUUUUCUGGGAAAAGAUUGAUAGGAAAGUAACAUGUAUAAUAAUAGCCAUCAACAAACAAACAAAACAAAUUUCCAAUCCUGGUUUAAGACUUUCUACCAAUUUUGACUUUGCUUUCCAAAGUGUGGAUCUUAUAAGCUAGUGAAGUUUUAUUUUUGAGGCAAAUGUUGAUAACUGUCCGGUCUCAAUUGAUGGCUAAUACAUUUGAGACGGAGUUAUCUGAAUAUUUUUUGCCACUGCAAGCUUUCCACAGGGAGUAAAAUCCUUUCAUUUUAUUUUUAGUUUCAGGAAAUUGACAUCAUUUUAGAUAGGAAAUUCAGUUAUGUACCGGAAGAACUGAGCGAGGACGGACAUGUUCUUCAAAUGGUUUAAGGUCGUUUUGACUCCUUUGACUGUUUCUAUCAACACCGUUCACAGCCACCAUGUCCUCUUUUCCUCCUGCCCCGGUUUUUUUUUUCUCAAGGUAGGAAUAUCAACCAAGUAAUGGAGAAAUCAAAUCUGAAAGGAAUGUCUCACAGGCUAAGGAACUCACUCAGCAAGAGAUGAUGGAAGGAUUCUAAGGCAACAUCAGCAAGGAAGAAAAGAAUCCUUUUGAAAAACUUUGUUUGCAUGCCUAAAGAGACCCAGGUGACUGAGGCAAAAAAGAACUCUGAACCUUAAAGAAAAAUGGGUCUACAUAAUGACUAUUGCAACUCAAGAGACAUGGAAGUAUGUAAUGAAAAGGAAUCCUUCUACAAUAAGAAAAGUGUCAUUUACAUUUUUUCCCCGAUUCUCUGAGGACAUCAGACUUGGAGUGACAAAGAGGCUUGGAGUGAACCAGAAUGAGAGCUUGACAGGAAGAGGAACAUGUGUCCUGUCUACCUAAAGAAACCCCAAACCCAAACGAAAGAAACAGAAAGUUUGUAUGUGCUCUGAAAUAAAAUAGAUGUUACUCCA